AGGAAGUAUGGUAAUACAUUCUUGUCAGCUGUCUGGGCAAAUCUUCUCUCGCAGAAUUGGAUUAAAAUUUAAUGUAUUUUAUUUCUCACUUCCAACGAUGUCGCAAUUAUUAGGCAGCUAUCAAGUCUCAAGAUAUGACAUAAUUUGAUAGAAUGUUAGUACCAACGCUAUCAGUGCAUUGAAGUCGAGUUCUCGAUACAGGGAGCUGCUGGUAAACUACCGUCGCUAUACAUCGACUAUGACUACAAUCCUACUUUUAAAAACAAACUACAUACAUAUCUCACAUUUGCGAGGACUACUUCAUCACAAGCAAAAAAUCGACAUUGGUAAAUAAAGGUCUGUCUUCUAUAACCACGAUGAAAAGAAAAGCUGGGCGAAAACAUUUGAGACUGCAGAUUGCAGAACUGGAACACUCUAUUUGAAGACAGUGGCUGCUGAGUGCUGAGCUGCAUCAAAUCUAUCAGCAUCAUGUAACUUCGAUCAGGAACAGACUCCAUUUCAUUUCCGACAACUAGCACCUGUUUUCCCUAGACUUACCAAGUAUUAAGUAACUGCAUUAGUAUUAGGUUAAAUUAAAGGCCCUACAUCGAACAAGUCUAACAAUUAAAACUUAAAUGCAAGAGUGCACAAUUUAUCACUAAAUAUCUUCCUCUUUUAAUUCUAAUCAACACACGGUUUCGUCUUUGUUUCACCCAAUCGUGCUGAUAAUCAGUAAUCAUGCACUCUGCACUCUAACUUCGAGAUGUUUCAAAAGGGCUCCCGACGAGUUGAAUUAGAUCAAUAUUUUCUUUUGAUACAUAGAUACUGAUUGGGAGGUUCAUCAUACUAUUCUUGUCACAUGGUAACGAUUAACGAUUAGCUGAUCAGCUUCCAGCAUCGACAGGCCGAAAUCCAUAAAUAUAAUCAGUUGUAAUUUAAUAUUUAUCAUCGUCCGGAUCAUCAUAAUAUUUUAAUUUAAAGUUACAAUUGAACGGUGUUAAGAAAGAUAAUUUAAGAGAAAUGUUUUGAAAGUGCCUGAUUUCGAGUAUAAGAUCUGUACUGAUACAUUAAUUUUCAGAUUGUUAUUAUAGUUUAUUUGUAUUUUUUAUAUUAUCUUAUCCGCACAAGUUCGGAAGCCAUCUGAACGCUAUUGCCAGACACAGGCAUAUAUUUAUUUUGGGGUAUCAUGCUCUCAGAAAUUUCAACUCAGUCCGAUAUUAUAGUUAUACUAACCUGCAUUGCACAAGGUUAAUUGUCUCGCAGUCUAGUGCAUAAACCUUUUAUUUUGUAUAAACCCUUUAUUUUGAUUGGGAAAACUUUAGUUUAAUGUGGUUACCGUCUCUAAAGUUGGCAUGAUAGUUAAUAAACUCUUAUCUAUUAUGUCACUGAAGAUGACGCCUUGCAACAUGUUUGACGAUAGCCUGUAGAUUGAUAGUUUGAUCUAAGUAUUUACAACAAUUCAUCUAGUUUGAUUGAUUCAAAGGGAAACAAAUUCCUCUCUUAUCUAUUAUGACUAUAUUUAAAUUCAAUCCUGUAAAGUGAUACUCCUUUUUUAGUAAUUUAAA
Molecule: long non-coding RNA, 1544 nt
Organism: Bolinopsis microptera
Lineage: Eukaryota; Metazoa; Ctenophora; Tentaculata; Lobata; Bolinopsidae
Exons: 4
Source: RefSeq, a predicted model, not a curated record